This 329-nucleotide unclassified non-coding RNA is filed under the name soil metagenome. Its description in RNAcentral is "partial contains 5.8S ribosomal RNA, internal transcribed spacer 2, and large subunit ribosomal RNA". The stretch from base 1 to 120 matches the Rfam family "5.8S ribosomal RNA", at positions 35 to 154 of the family's 154-position model. The record is from RNAcentral.
GAUGAAGAACGUAGCGAAAUGCGAUACGUAGUGUGAAUUGCAGAAUUCAGUGAAUCAUCGAAUCUUUGAACGCACAUUGCGCCCCCUGGCAUUCCGGGGGGCAUGCCUGUUCGAGCGUCAUUACAACCCUCAAGCUCUGCUUGGUAUUGGGCUCUGCUGGGACCGGCAGGCCUUAAAAUCAGUGGCGGCGCCACUCGGCUUCAAGCGUAGUAAUUCUUCUCGCUUCGGAGACCCGGGUGCGUGCUAGCCAGCAACCCCCAACUUUCUUAGGUUGACCUCGGAUCAGGUAGGGAUACCCGCUGAACUUAAGCAUAUCAAUAAGCGGAGGA